RNAcentral lists this long non-coding RNA (5404 nucleotides) under Homo sapiens (human). Its description in RNAcentral is "HSALNT0293038". Lineage: Eukaryota; Metazoa; Chordata; Mammalia; Primates; Hominidae. The record is from RNAcentral.
GUGCUUCAGUACCCUGAAUUCAUCUUGUUGAGUAGCUGGGAAGUUUUAUGAAAGAUAUAGCCUGAAUAGCUCAGUAACUCAACUGAAAGACAGAAAGAAAUGUGACUUGGCGAAAACAAAAGAAAGAGCUUCUAGGAUCUGAUGACUCAAAGCAAUACUCUAAGGUGAGCAUCUCAUCAUCCAGCAUUGGGACUGACUGGCUUCGAGACAUACUGGACAUACCAUGCUCUGGUCCCAGCAUCUUAUCCGGUCGUUCGUGGCUUCCUAAGUGAUCACUCCCAGAAGCAUAGUUUUCUAAUGGUAUGUUAUACACCUUAUAUGUACCAAUGUCAAUCUCAUCGAUACUCUGUGACUUUUUGAAUUUAUUAGACUUGAUAUCUUUCAUUAGGGGGGAAAGCCUCUCUGUGCUUUUGCUAAUUGAAAUAACACCUUUAGAAGAUUCCGGGCGGCAGUGGAUUUGAGAAAAGACAUUACUAAGACUCCUGUUGGGAUUGGAAUCAUGAUACUCCCAUGGUACGCCUGGAGAAAAAGGACUAGGUAUUUCAGUAGAUUCCUUUAUAUGUUCUUUCCUUUCAGGCAAUGGGCUGGUAGUGGGGGUUGUCUCUAAUUUGGAAGGAAAAGCGGUCCUGUCUUCAAACGGACUAGGGGUUCUGGUCCAAUUCUGCCAAGGAUUGGAAGGAGGCACUUCUGUUUCUGGUGUGUGUCUGUGUGUAGACUGCUCGAGUUCCAGGGGAACACCAACAAUCCUGUCUUGCCUGAUCAAAGGCCUGCGUCCAUGCGAAGAUGUGCUUCUAGAUUUCGAACUUAAGAGAGGAUUACUGUUGGCAUUCUCGGCUGUGGUUUCCUCAGCAACAAACCCUGUGUUGUCAUAAUGCGAGCCAUCAGUCCAGUUGUCAGUGAAAGUAUCACUCAUGGGCAGCCGGUCAGGACGCUGUGGUAUAUUGCCUGGGGGAACAGCCUCCCGCUGGCUGAGUAAUGGCUUUGAAUCAAGAGGCUGUGGGAAAGAUGGUGCAAUCCUGUGAACACAAUGGGAAGAAGAAAUUGAAAAGGACGAAGAGUUGGGUCUUUGGCAGAAAGAGAACAAGCAGCAAAGAGGGCCAUCAUCCUUUGUUUAACUGAUCAAUAAUCCUCACCUGACUUAUGAUUAAGAUAGUAUUAUUAUUUCAUAUUUUAAAAAUCCAUCCCUUUAUCCUGCUUUAACUUUUUUUUCCUAGUAAUAAUCACCUUCUAAUAUACUAUAUAAUUUACUUAUCUAUUACGUGUAUUGUAUCUUGUGUUGUGUCCUCUGCUAGAAUAUAAACUCACAAUGGUAGAGAUCUUUUUCUCUGCAGGCCUAGACUAAUGCCUGGCACAUAGUAGGUAUUAAAUACACAUUUGUUGAAGGAAUCAAUGAAGGAAAUAUGUAGUUCUUAAGUAAUGGUCUUGAAACCUGACUGAUAAUUAGAAUCAUAUGAUUCCUGAUACCCAUUCCUGGAGAUUCUGAUUUGGUACAUUUCAAACUAUUGGCCGAGAGUACCUUUCUUACAAAUGCUUGGUGUAUCUGAUGAAUCUAAAUUGUCUUCAGAUGACUUUUAUUUGAAGGUCAGGUUUUGAAGACACUAAAUGCUAUUGUAUAGGGAGCAUAUUCAGGUAUGUUUUGUAGAAUGUAAAUUAUAUUAUGACUUUAGAUCACUGACAUGUUUGUACCACUGACCAUGUUAUUUCUAGCAGAUACUGAGAUAAUGCAAAUAAUGAAUUUACAAACUGAAAGAGUUAUGAUUUUUAUUAUGAGCAUCAAUGAUUAGGAAAAGUUACUCAUGAAUUACUAAAGAAGACAUUGCCAACAGUGGCAAUAUUAUCAGUAAAAUAUGAGUAAAAGUUAUUGACUACCUAUAUAACAAUUUUAAUUUGCUAUUUGUAGUGUAAAACAUAGCAACAAGUUACAAAAUGGAAUUAGAACUGGGAAAACAUUGCCUUAUUGAGUCACUUUAUUGUGCUCUGUGUGUGGUUUUUGUUUUUUCAUCUGUAAAAUUAGAGUAAUAUAGAGGAGGAGGCAUUUUGGAAAGAUUAAGUACUUAAAAAUACAUCCUGACUUUUCCAGGUGGUGAUAAAAUUAUGAUGACGAUAGCAAUGAAAAUUUAUUGAACACUUACUCUGGACCAGACACCUAAGUGUUUUACUGGCAUUUUAUUUUAAUUCAUAAUGCCAUUUUGUAUGUUAAAACAUCCAUGUCUCAUCAAUAAGUAUCAGUGGGCAAACACAUUUUUUUUUAUUUUUUAAAUUUUUUGUUCUACCAUCUCAUCCUGUUAACUCCUACCAUGUCUUCCUUAACCAAUGGCCUCUCCCUGUAAGGUGGAUUCAUCUGUUCCUGGCAGUCCCAGGCGAACAACAUUUGCUUACCUGCCCCUUCUGUCUUCUAUGCCACUUGUGUGCCGAAUACAAUUCCAAAAUUAAGAAGAUUCCAUUUUUUAAAAAGUUGCUGAAAAUAAACGUUUGGGAACAAAAGGAGGGAAUUCUAAACACACCUGUUACCCCACAAAGAAUUAUGUACUGCAUCUUUAGCUGUUGUCUGCAAGGACCCCACUUUAACCCGGGUAUUAGAGGAUCCUGAGGAAGCCUGGGAAGGCGAGUAGUCUGAGUAAGUGCCUGAGGAAACACUGUUAUUCAGACAGUGAGUUUUGUCAACUUCAGACUCAUCAGUUGAUUCUGAAAUUUAAAGGGGAAAAUGUUAUAAUGCUAUGACACUGACAAUUACACGGAAAAGCAAGUAUGAAAAAUGGAAACCAUACCGAUUAAGGUUAGAAAUGCAUAUUUGUAAAACAUUUGUAUAGAAUAUGGUGUAUCAUAAUUUACAACUGGCGAUUCAUCAUGCACAUGCAUUUGUAGCAUAUUUUCCACAUUGGGUUCACAGUGUUACCUUUUUUGUCCUUCCCUAGCAGAACAAGUUUGGGUGGGUACAGAGGGGUCUCAGCUAAUGAAGGGUGAAGUUCCCCAAUCCUCAUUUCAUUAGCUGGAUGAACAAAAGAAUCCUGAGAGAUAUAAUAAUACAGGACAAGGAAAGUAAACAUUUAAACAAUGGUUAACCAAAGUGGCAGUAUCUUUAUUUGGCUCAGAUUAAAAAAUGUGACUCUAGAAUUCAGUUCACUGUGAGGCACUGGGAGAAAUAAACCAUAUGUAUCUCUGAGUUAAGCAUUAAAUUUUUUUUUUCUAAUGUAAGUGAGUCCAUUUAUUCAUCAAUUUUUCUUGCAUGUUGUUUAUAUGCCUGGCACUGUGCAAUGAACUGUGGAGGUUCCAAAGAAAGACAAAAUGUGGCUGGUGCCCUCUGGGAGUUUAUAAUCUAGUUGGAGAGAUGAGCUAUAACUCAUUAGAACACCAGACUGAAUUAUGAUAAGCCAUAUAUGAGCAGUAUGAUUCACACAAAUAUGAUAUAUACACAUGUAAUUGUUCUAAGUGGUUAACUCUAAGAGUUUUAAGAGGAAAGUAUAUCACUGACCAAUUAAGAUUUUUUUUUUUUUUUUUUUUUUGUGCAUCCCUAGCUACAUUACUUCACUGUCGGGUCCUAUAAAUCCUGCUCUUCCCACCGCUUUCCUCCUAACUUUCUACUGUAUCCCAAGUGAUCAUCUCCUCAAUUUCUCAAGUUCUAUCAUGUGUUCUUCCAGAGGUUCCUGGUUUUCUCACACCUAAUCUAGCAUACUAAAUCUUCAUUCUAUAUCCCUUCUUUGAGUGUAACGAGCAACAUCGAUACACGACUAUAACUUCAUAAUGACAAAUAAACAUGUAGAAAACCCAAGAUUUUAAACUUCCACAAUUCAAAUUACUAUUUUCAGUUAACCAGGCAGGGUGGAGAGCAUUAGGGGAAGGUAAAAUACCAAAUUCUCACUUUCUUCUAGAUAUAAAAAUGCAUUAUCUAUGCCCAUAAGUAGUGAUAUAUAUUUAUGCAUAGCAGCUAUCGUUAUGUCUUCUUUUCCCUUAAGAUUAAUUUUAAUUCAAAUGAGAAUUUUUCAGCUUUUUAAUUCAUUAGUAUCUUGUGAGUUUGGGGCACUAAUGUAAAAUAUUUAGAAAUAUUUUGUUAAAUCAGAGAAAAAAAUAUACUUGAGGACAAAAAUAUUGUAAAUUUAAAAAGUCCUGUCUUAAAACUAAUCGGUUGGUAUAAUGAACAGGCAGAAACUCUUACUAUAAAUUUUAUAUAUUGCCAAGGACCCCCAUAGUGACAUGCUCAGGUCUUUGGUUAUUGCAGAGAAGCACAUCUUGGUUUAAGUUCUAUCUUUUGGGAUUCUUUUGGGUUAGGUUUGUAUGGAAAUAUUUGCCUGAAAAACCUGGGUAUAUCUGUUACUUGUUAAUUUUUUAAAUAGAAUAUUUCAAUAAAAGAAAAGGGAAAGAUCAUUUAGUCCAACACUUUUGUUUUCUAGAGGCGGGUUCUGAGACUCAGCUUAGGCCUAGGUUACACAGAUGAUUAGACGAAGAUCCAGCACUGCAGCAGGAUUCUCCUGGGCUCCAUUCCAGUGAUCUUUCCUUACCUUGUGCUGCCUCCUGGUGAGCUCAGCUGUGAGCACACAAAGAACUUAAAAUGAGAUAAGGAAAUGGAGGCUCAGUGAGGCACUGUGCUAGACUCAGGCAAUACAAGGAUGGACAAGAAAGAAAGCAUCCCUGCCUUCAUGAAACUCACAGUCUGAAGUCAAUAAACAAACAGCUGUUGCCACUUUACAGAAAGAAAAGUGUGGCUCAGACCAUAAUUUCAGGAAGAAGCAUGCAAUUUUUGGUAAUUCAAUGAAAUAUAAAGAUGAAUCAGAAGUCCGGUAUAGAAUGCAUCAUCCAUUGGUUCUGGAUUUAACAUACAAAAUCCGUAAAAGAACUGAAAUGUUCUGAAGCUUGAAUCUCUCUCAUGCAGUUAUUCUGUUGGAUGAAGUGGCAUUUCAAAUUUGCUCACUCAGAUUUGGGACAUUAGUCUCAUUCUGAAGCACACCAAUGCUUCCAGAACUACCAGCAUGCUGUAAUGAAAGGUACCGCCAUGAGACUUGAAGAAGUAUCUGACUUUGUCCCAAAAUCUAUCUGAAUAAGAAAAACGGACAAACAAAAAGAUAAGGAGAAGAAAGAGGAAACAAAAGCUAAAAGGUUCACCUUAACUUUCCCAGCAUUUUCGUCAUCUUCUUUUUUGUCUUCAAAUUCAAAGGCAACAGUCAUGCGUUGUUGUCUCUGCUCUUCCCACAGUGUAGGGUUAAAGCUGUCACUGUCUGACUGGAAAUCUACAGUUAGAUUCCAAAGUAUUAUUGUUUUUUUAAAAAACAAUUUUACACAAAGUAUUUAAUAUAGUAUGCAAAAAUGGUGAUAGAUACUACAAACAAAUACGGAAAUAAAGAAGAAAGAAAGAAAAAAAGAAAGAGAAAGAAGGAAAGAGAAAAGAAUAAAAUUCCCUUGAUAUUUAUUA